CCUAGCAGGUGAGACUGGCCAAUGAGAAACAAAUAAAAGCUUAAGCGAACUUCCAGAAAAGCUGAGUCCGCCUCCCUCUUUCCUGUCUCUUGUUCCCUGGAACAUGCAUGUGGCAGCUGGAGCUGCAGUGUCUGCCAGAAAUGUGGACGUGUAUAGAAAAGUCGAAAUCAGCCAAAUUCCUACAAAGGACCAGAAUGAAACUGUCAAGAAGCUUAAAAUAAAAAUUUCGCUCACGUUCAGCUUGUGGACAAGACCUCACGGCGUGUGUUUUAUGGGCUCAACUCACCCAUGACGUCAUCUUAUUUUUCCCCCAUCCUUCUUUCACUUUCACUUUCUUCUCAUUUCUCUAUUUUUUUGUGUAUAAAUGAAUGAUGUGAUAUGUACCUACGCAAUAUGUAUAUCAUGGCAUAUUGUGUCUAUUUUACAAGCCUUCCAAAUACCUUUGAAAUAGGAAUGUAUAUAAAAAAUACAGUUAGGUAUUUUUCAUUUCUCUGAAGACUUGAGGUCACUUGCAUAGUCCUUUUGUUUUCUUUGUUUUCUUUUUUGG
Long non-coding RNA from Phacochoerus africanus (Common warthog), 547 nucleotides. RefSeq lists it as uncharacterized. The transcript is spliced from 3 exons. NCBI's taxonomy places the organism in Eukaryota, Metazoa, Chordata, Mammalia, Artiodactyla, Suidae. The record is from RefSeq and is a predicted model, not a curated record.